This 29-nucleotide non-coding RNA is filed under the name Rattus norvegicus (Norway rat). The record is from RNAcentral. Lineage: Eukaryota; Metazoa; Chordata; Mammalia; Rodentia; Muridae.
UACAUUGAUUUCCAACCUGAGUGGUUUAA